CACCAAUUUCACAUAUCUUUUUGAAGGAUUUGGGUGGUCCUUAAAAGGACCUUUGGUUGCAUGAGUUGCUGGGUUACUGUCUCAUCUAUGGUGCUGGUAAUAGUUUUCUCUUGCAGUUAGUACUAUGGCUAAGAAAGGCAGGUACUGGGUCCAACUGUCCUUUUCUGUAAACAUCUUGCUCUUUACUUUUUAGCUUGGCCUCUCUAUGUUCCACUAUUUUUUCCCCACUCUGUGUAACAAUGUGUAAGACAUCUAUGUUUAACUUCAGGGUUUUUUUCAUAGUCUUGCUUGUAGGUAAACUGUUUGUCCAUGCU
RNAcentral lists this long non-coding RNA (314 nucleotides) under Mytilus galloprovincialis (Mediterranean mussel). The record is from RNAcentral. Lineage: Eukaryota; Metazoa; Mollusca; Bivalvia; Mytilida; Mytilidae.